RNAcentral lists this ribosomal RNA (764 nucleotides) under uncultured bacterium. RNAcentral's name for it is "bacterial SSU rRNA". It matches the Rfam family "Bacterial small subunit ribosomal RNA", at positions 8 to 796 of the family's 1533-position model. The record is from RNAcentral.
AGAGUUUGAUCAUGGCUCAGGAUAAACGCUGGCGGCGUGCCUAAAACAUGCAAGUCGUACGGGCGCCCUUCGGGGUGUCAGUGGCGGACGGCUGAGUAACACGUGGGUGACCUGCCCCGUCGCGGGGGACAACCGCCCGAAAGGGUGGCUAAUACCGCGGAUGUCGCCGAUUCGGUUCGGUGACUAAACCUCCGAGAGGGGGGCGAUGGGAGGGGCCCGCGGCCGAUUAGCUGGCUGGUGGGGUGACGGCCUACCAGGGCGACGAUCGGUAGCUGGUCUGAGAGGAUGAUCAGCCAGACUGGGACUGCGACACGGCCCAGACUCCUACGGGAGGCAGCAGUUAGGGAUUUUGGGCAAUGGGGGCAACCCUGACCCAGCAACGCCGCGUGGGUGACGAAGGCCUUCGGGUCGUAAAGCCCUUUUCCGGGGGGCGAUGGUGACGGUACCCGCAGAAGAAGCCCCGGCUAACUUCGUGCCAGCAGCCGCGGUAAUACGAAGGGGGCUAGCGUUGCUCGGAAUCAUUGGGCGUAAAGGGCGCGUAGGCGGCGCUGUUAGUCAGGCGUGAAAUGCCCAGGCUCAACUUGGGGACUGCGCUUGAUACGGCAGGGCUCGAGGAUGGAAGAGGGCCGCGGAAUUCCCAGUGUAGAGGUGAAAUUCGUAGAUAUUGGGAAGAACACCGGUGGCGAAGGCGGCGGCCUGGUCCAUUACUGACGCUGAGGCGCGACAGCGUGGGGAGCAAACAGGAUUAGAUACCCCGGUAGUCC